Drosophila subobscura is the source of this 531-nucleotide long non-coding RNA. RefSeq lists it as uncharacterized. NCBI's taxonomy places the organism in Eukaryota, Metazoa, Arthropoda, Insecta, Diptera, Drosophilidae. The record is from RefSeq and is a predicted model, not a curated record. The transcript is spliced from 3 exons.
UUUUUUUGCCGUAUUUCUCCUAUAUUUUGUGGUUAAAGUGGAGGACCAACAGAUCGUAGACAUUUGCGGCACCCUCAGUGAAGAGCAAGGAUUCCACCAGCUGCGCCCUGACCCAUGGGACAACCAUCGAUAAAAACCAACCCCCAGUGUGCUGUAAUCGUGUAUCGUGUCCAGCAUUAAAUGUUACACUCAGCCGUGAUUGAGGCGAACAUCAUUUGUGUAUACCAUUUAUGACCCAUUUAGAUAAAAAGACAACAGUUAAUGAGAGCCGCGACGCGCCUUGGCAACAAUCUAAUCAGGGGAGGCGAAUAGUUAUCUAGAGGUUACGAUCUCUCGUUGAAUUGAGCCACUUGCAGGGUGCAGCGUGUGUACCCCUCAGAGUUUCACUAGGUCAAAGUCGGCUGUGAAGUUUCUUCGCUUUCCUAAUCGUCUGACUGCGCUUCCAACCUCUUUCUUUAUGCCUUGGAGGGGAUUUUUCAAUACCUAUUUAUAGAACUCAAACUGGUUAUGGCCGCCUAAUUGGGCAUUUAG